Molecule: non-coding RNA, 77 nt
Filed under: unclassified sequences
Description: L13-Bacteroidia ribosomal protein leader
Rfam family: L13-Bacteroidia ribosomal protein leader
Source: RNAcentral
GGGGAGAGACUUAGAAUCCCCAUAGGGUCAGUGUGUAAAUAGCUGCGUCUUUGGCCGGGCGUAACGGUUUGUGAAUC